GCCGAUGUAGCUCAGUGGUAGAGCAAUCGAUUCGUAAUCGAUCGGUCGCGAGUUCAAAUCUCGCCAUCGGCU
Gloeocapsa sp. PCC 7428 is the source of this 72-nucleotide transfer RNA. It matches the Rfam family "tRNA". From Rfam's summary of the family: Transfer RNA (tRNA) molecules are approximately 80 nucleotides in length. Their secondary structure includes four short double-helical elements and three loops (D, anti-codon, and T loops). NCBI's taxonomy places the organism in Bacteria, Bacillati, Cyanobacteriota, Cyanophyceae, Chroococcidiopsidales, Chroococcidiopsidaceae. The record is from Rfam.